This 491-nucleotide ribosomal RNA is filed under the name uncultured bacterium. Its description in RNAcentral is "bacterial SSU rRNA". It matches the Rfam family "Bacterial small subunit ribosomal RNA", at positions 29 to 486 of the family's 1533-position model. The record is from RNAcentral.
AACGAACGCUGGCGGCAGGCCUAACACAUGCAAGUCGAGCGCCCCCUUCAGAGCACGGAAUACGGAAUACGGGUAUCGGAAGUGAGAACUUUCUGAUCCCUGUUUUCGGUAUUCCGUUUUCUGAUGGGGGAGCGGCGGACGGGUGAGUAACGCGUGGGAAUUUUCCUCAAGGUAGGGAACAACUCAGGGAAACUUGGGCUAAUACCCUAUGAUGCCGGGAGGCCAAAGAUUUAUCGCCUUGGGAUGAGCCCGCGUCAGAUUAGGUAGUUGGUGGGGUAACGGCUUACCAAGCCUGCGAUCUGUAGCUGGUCUGAGAGGACGAUCAGCCACACUGGGACUGAGACACGGCCCAGACUCCUACGGGAGGCAGCAGUGGGGAAUCUUGCGCAAUGGGCGAAAGCCUGACGCAGCCAUGCCCGCGUGAAUGAUGAAGGUCUUAGGUAUUGUUAAAGUUCUUUCCGCCCGUGACGAUGAUGACGGUAACGGGAGAA